This 2922-nucleotide ribosomal RNA is filed under the name Staphylococcus aureus. RNAcentral's name for it is "23S ribosomal RNA". It matches the Rfam family "Bacterial large subunit ribosomal RNA". The record is from RNAcentral. Lineage: Bacteria; Bacillati; Bacillota; Bacilli; Caryophanales; Staphylococcaceae.
UUAAGUUAUUAAGGGCGCACGGUGGAUGCCUUGGCACUAGAAGCCGAUGAAGGACGUUACUAACGACGAUAUGCUUUGGGGAGCUGUAAGUAAGCUUUGAUCCAGAGAUUUCCGAAUGGGGAAACCCAGCAUGAGUUAUGUCAUGUUAUCGAUAUGUGAAUACAUAGCAUAUCAGAAGGCACACCCGGAGAACUGAAACAUCUUAGUACCCGGAGGAAGAGAAAGAAAAUUCGAUUCCCUUAGUAGCGGCGAGCGAAACGGGAAGAGCCCAAACCAACAAGCUUGCUUGUUGGGGUUGUAGGACACUCUAUACGGAGUUACAAAGGACGACAUUAGACGAAUCAUCUGGAAAGAUGAAUCAAAGAAGGUAAUAAUCCUGUAGUCGAAAAUGUUGUCUCUCUUGAGUGGAUCCUGAGUACGACGGAGCACGUGAAAUUCCGUCGGAAUCUGGGAGGACCAUCUCCUAAGGCUAAAUACUCUCUAGUGACCGAUAGUGAACCAGUACCGUGAGGGAAAGGUGAAAAGCACCCCGGAAGGGGAGUGAAAUAGAACCUGAAACCGUGUGCUUACAAGUAGUCAGAGCCCGUUAAUGGGUGAUGGCGUGCCUUUUGUAGAAUGAACCGGCGAGUUACGAUUUGAUGCAAGGUUAAGCAGUAAAUGUGGAGCCGUAGCGAAAGCGAGUCUGAAUAGGGCGUUUAGUAUUUGGUCGUAGACCCGAAACCAGGUGAUCUACCCUUGGUCAGGUUGAAGUUCAGGUAACACUGAAUGGAGGACCGAACCGACUUACGUUGAAAAGUGAGCGGAUGAACUGAGGGUAGCGGAGAAAUUCCAAUCGAACCUGGAGAUAGCUGGUUCUCUCCGAAAUAGCUUUAGGGCUAGCCUCAAGUGAUGAUUAUUGGAGGUAGAGCACUGUUUGGACGAGGGGCCCCUCUCGGGUUACCGAAUUCAGACAAACUCCGAAUGCCAAUUAAUUUAACUUGGGAGUCAGAACAUGGGUGAUAAGGUCCGUGUUCGAAAGGGAAACAGCCCAGACCACCAGCUAAGGUCCCAAAAUAUAUGUUAAGUGGAAAAGGAUGUGGCGUUGCCCAGACAACUAGGAUGUUGGCUUAGAAGCAGCCAUCAUUUAAAGAGUGCGUAAUAGCUCACUAGUCGAGUGACACUGCGCCGAAAAUGUACCGGGGCUAAACAUNNUUACCGAAGCUGUGGAUUGUCCUUUGGACAAUGGUAGGAGAGCGUUCUAAGGGCGUUGAAGCAUGAUCGUAAGGACAUGUGGAGCGCUUAGAAGUGAGAAUGCCGGUGUGAGUAGCGAAAGACGGGUGAGAAUCCCGUCCACCGAUUGACUAAGGUUUCCAGAGGAAGGCUCGUCCGCUCUGGGUUAGUCGGGUCCUAAGCUGAGGCCGACAGGCGUAGGCGAUGGAUAACAGGUUGAUAUUCCUGUACCACCUAUAAUCGUUUUAAUCGAUGGGGGGACGCAGUAGGAUAGGCGAAGCGUGCGAUUGGAUUGCACGUCUAAGCAGUAAGGCUGAGUAUUAGGCAAAUCCGGUACUCGUUAAGGCUGAGCUGUGAUGGGGAGAAGACAUUGUGUCUUCGAGUCGUUGAUUUCACACUGCCGAGAAAAGCCUCUAGAUAGAAAAUAGGUGCCCGUACCGCAAACCGACACAGGUAGUCAAGAUGAGAAUUCUAAGGUGAGCGAGCGAACUCUCGUUAAGGAACUCGGCAAAAUGACCCCGUAACUUCGGGAGAAGGGGUGCUCUUUAGGGUUAACGCCCAGAAGAGCCGCAGUGAAUAGGCCCAAGCGACUGUUUAUCAAAAACACAGGUCUCUGCUAAACCGUAAGGUGAUGUAUAGGGGCUGACGCCUGCCCGGUGCUGGAAGGUUAAGAGGAGUGGUUAGCUUCUGCGAAGCUACGAAUCGAAGCCCCAGUAAACGGCGGCCGUAACUAUAACGGUCCUAAGGUAGCGAAAUUCCUUGUCGGGUAAGUUCCGACCCGCACGAAAGGCGUAACGAUUUGGGCACUGUCUCAACGAGAGACUCGGUGAAAUCAUAGUACCUGUGAAGAUGCAGGUUACCCGCGACAGGACGGAAAGACCCCGUGGAGCUUUACUGUAGCCUGAUAUUGAAAUUCGGCACAGCUUGUACAGGAUAGGUAGGAGCCUUUGAAACGUGAGCGCUAGCUUACGUGGAGGCGCUGGUGGGAUACUACCCUAGCUGUGUUGGCUUUCUAACCCGCACCACUUAUCGUGGUGGGAGACAGUGUCAGGCGGGCAGUUUGACUGGGGCGGUCGCCUCCUAAAAGGUAACGGAGGCGCUCAAAGGUUCCCUCAGAAUGGUUGGAAAUCAUUCAUAGAGUGUAAAGGCAUAAGGGAGCUUGACUGCGAGACCUACAAGUCGAGCAGGGUCGAAAGACGGACUUAGUGAUCCGGUGGUUCCGCAUGGAAGGGCCAUCGCUCAACGGAUAAAAGCUACCCCGGGGAUAACAGGCUUAUCUCCCCCAAGAGUUCACAUCGACGGGGAGGUUUGGCACCUCGAUGUCGGCUCAUCGCAUCCUGGGGCUGUAGUCGGUCCCAAGGGUUGGGCUGUUCGCCCAUUAAAGCGGUACGCGAGCUGGGUUCAGAACGUCGUGAGACAGUUCGGUCCCUAUCCGUCGUGGGCGUAGGAAAUUUGAGAGGAGCUGUCCUUAGUACGAGAGGACCGGGAUGGACAUACCUCUGGUGUACCAGUUGUCGUGCCAACGGCAUAGCUGGGUAGCUAUGUGUGGACGGGAUAAGUGCUGAAAGCAUCUAAGCAUGAAGCCCCCCUCAAGAUGAGAUUUCCCAACUUCGGUUAUAAGAUCCCUCAAAGAUGAUGAGGUUAAUAGGUUCGAGGUGGAAGCAUGGUGACAUGUGGAGCUGACGAAUACUAAUCGAUCGAAGACUUAAUCAA